This is a non-coding RNA of Chiloscyllium plagiosum (whitespotted bambooshark), 238 nucleotides long. NCBI's taxonomy places the organism in Eukaryota, Metazoa, Chordata, Chondrichthyes, Orectolobiformes, Hemiscylliidae. The record is from RefSeq and is a predicted model, not a curated record.
UUAGGUUACACCAAACAGAGAAAAGUUCCACACAUCAUCAUCCAAGAAUUAUUACUGUUGCUCAGAAACAAACACAGAGAAUGUCUUGCUAAGCCAUUUCAGAGGCCAGUUCUGAAUCAACCACAAAGCUGGUGGACCUUGUAGUCCAGAUCAGAUUUGACACCUCCACCUAUUUGACAGUGCACCUCAUGAUCAAAGGACAGAUCCCAGGAAUUUACCCCUGGCUGACUUUGAUGAG